RNAcentral lists this ribosomal RNA (586 nucleotides) under Coccus hesperidum. RNAcentral describes it as "partial 28S ribosomal RNA". It matches the Rfam family "Eukaryotic large subunit ribosomal RNA", at positions 596 to 846 of the family's 3401-position model. The record is from RNAcentral. Lineage: Eukaryota; Metazoa; Arthropoda; Insecta; Hemiptera; Coccidae.
AGGGUGUCGGACGUCGCGACCCGUUCGCCAGAUCGAUGCUCAGGGGCGCGUCUCAAGUUCGUAUGCGCGGCCGUUUCGGCGGUCGCGCGGCGAUGACGCGUUUCCACUGUUUUCGACGCGGACGGUAGCUUUGCGCGCGGGUAAUCGAGGCGGUCCUUCGUCCGGCGUCUCGUACGUCGGACGGCGCUCGCCUCGACGCCGGUCAGCGACGAAUCUUCGGGCCUCUUUCCGACCCGUCUUGAAACACGGACCAAGGAGUCUAGCGUGCGCGCGAGUCGCGGGGUAUCCGAGGAGUAGUAGUCGUUUCGGCGGCGAACGCUCCUCGUCACGAUACGAAACCCGUGUACGUACGUUGUGCGAAGGCGUAAUGAAAGUGAAAGGCGGCGCUUCGCGCGUCGCCGGGGGAAGACGGUCGACCGUGUACACGUUUCGCGACCGCGUAUGUGUCGCGACCGGUCACCCGCAUUCCCAGGGCGUCCCGCUCGUACGUCGGCGGCCGGGGUUCGCUUCGACCGUCGACGAACUGGGGCGCACCUACAGCGUGCACGCUGGUACCCGAAAGAUGGUGAACUAUGCCUGGCCAGGA